CAGAGCGCGACAACUUGAGAUUUUGGCUUAAAAGAUCAAUUUACAGCAUACACUUGAAAUUAAUUUUUUAAAUUUUGAUUUAGGCGAAAAUAAAACAUUAUUAUUUUCAAUUUGAUUUUUACAAACCAUGAAUAUCAGUAAAAUUGAUUAGUUUUUUCAAUUAUGUGAGCAUAAACAGACAGUUCGUUAUUAAUAUAUGAUCCCUGAUCAAAUGACUUUCAAUUGUAGCAAAUAUAUAAACAAAUCUCAAGUCUAAUUUGCCUGGUGUCAACUAAUUUUUAAUUUUUCAAUUGUGUCAAUCAGACAAUUUUGUGGCCAAAGUAGUUUCUUAAUUAUCAAUAAUGGCUGGUGGCAGUGAACAUGUCGAUGAAUCUCAAUUUACUGGAAUGUCAAAAUAUUUCAAUUCCUAUACUAAUACUGGACGUCGAAAUUGUUCCAUUCUUACUCUUAGUGUCACAGCUGGUUUGAUACUUUAUUUCACUAAAUUUAGGAAAUCAGGAAAGCAAGAAGCCAAGAAAUAAUUGGUUCAUAUGGAUCACAAUUUUGAUUAGUUUUGUGUUUUAGCUUUUAUCAAAGCUUAUUUAAAAGCGCAAUCGGAUAUUAUUUAUUGGUACAAACAAUGGAAGUUCUGUCUAUGCGAAAAAAAGUUACUGUUAAUAUUAAUAGAGUUAUGUAAUAAACUUGUUUCUAUUACACUA
Long non-coding RNA from Tetranychus urticae (two-spotted spider mite), 698 nucleotides. RefSeq lists it as uncharacterized. The record is from RefSeq and is a predicted model, not a curated record. Lineage: Eukaryota; Metazoa; Arthropoda; Arachnida; Trombidiformes; Tetranychidae.